This 417-nucleotide long non-coding RNA is filed under the name Nicotiana tabacum (common tobacco). Its description in RNAcentral is "long non-coding RNA (NTAB_LNC003576)". Lineage: Eukaryota; Viridiplantae; Streptophyta; Magnoliopsida; Solanales; Solanaceae. The record is from RNAcentral.
CCCAGCCCCAGCCACAACCAUUGAAUCCUCUACCUCAACCUCAAAUGCAAGCUCUACCUAAAGGGCCAACUCAACCACAGGUUCAAGCUGUGGCUCAGCAACAUCAAAACCAGGUUCAAGUCAACCCACAGCAGCAGCUUCCACCUACUGGGCAGUCUCAUACCCAAAUUCCAUCACAAAUACUUCCAGCUUCUCAUGCUCAGCCACCUACUCAGCCUCCGCCAUAUCCUCAGCCCUAUCCGAUGCAACCUCAUUCACAACAGCAUGUGCAGGUGCCACAGUAUCAGCAGCAUCCUGCCCAGGUUCACCCUCCCCAGUCUUCUCAAGCCCAACCGCAGCCGUUUGUGCAUCAACCUCAUUCACAACUUCAACCGCAGAUAAAUGUUCAACAUCAUCAACAAUCUCAUGGCCAAUUGC